GUUGUUGGGUAGGGGAGCGUUCUGUAAGCCUGUGAAGGUGGCCUGUGAGGGUUGCUGGAGGUAUCAGAAGUGCGAAUGCUGACAUAAGUAACGAUAAAGCGGGUGAAAAGCCCGCUCGCCGGAAGACCAAGGGUUCCUGUCCAACGUUAAUCGGGGCAGGGUGAGUCGACCCCUAAGGCGAGGCCGAAAGGCGUAGUCGAUGGGAAACGGGUUAAUAUUCCCGUACUUGGUGUUACUGCGAAGGGGGGACGGAGAAGGCUAUGUUGGCCGGGCGACGGUUGUCCCGGUUUAAGCGUGUAGGUGUGUGUUCCAGGUAAAUCCGGUUCACUUUAACACUGAGGCGUGACGACGAGGCACUACGGUGCUGAAGCAACAAAUGCCCUGCUUCCAGGAAAAGCCUCUAAGCAUCAGGUAACAUCAAAUCGUACCCCAAACCGACACAGGUGGUCAGGUAGAGAAUACCAAGGCGCUUGAGAGAACUCGGGUGAAGGAACUAGGCAAAAUGGUGCCGUAACUUCGGGAGAAGGCACGCUGACACGUAGGUGAAGUGAUUUACUCAUGGAGCUGAAGUCAGUCGAAGAUACCAGCUGGCUGCAACUGUUUAUUAAAAACACAGCACUGUGCAAACACGAAAGUGGACGUAUACGGUGUGACGCCUGCCCGGUGCCGGAAGGUUAAUUGAUGGGGUCAGCGCAAGCGAAGCUCCUGAUCGAAGCCCCGGUAAACGGCGGCCGUAACUAUAACGGUCCUAAGGUAGCGAAAUUCCUUGUCGGGUAAGUUCCGACCUGCACGAAUGGCGUAAUGAUGGCCAGGCUGUCUCCACCCGAGACUCAGUGAAAUUGAACUCGCUGUGAAGAUGCAGUGUACCCGCGGCAAGACGGAAAGACCCCGUGAACCUUUACUAUAGCUUGACACUGAACAUUGAGCCUUGAUGUGUAGGAUAGGUGGGAGGCUUUGAAGUGUGGACGCCAGUCUGCAUGGAGCCGACCUUGAAAUACCACCCUUUAAUGUUUGAUGUUCUAACGUGGACCCGUUACCCGGGUUGCGGACAGUGUCUGGUGGGUAGUUUGACUGGGGCGGUCUCCUCCUAAAGAGUAACGGAGGAGCACGAAGGUUGGCUAAUCCUGGUCGGACAUCAGGAGGUUAGUGCAAUGGCAUAAGCCAGCUUGACUGCGAGCGUGACGGCGCGAGCAGGUGCGAAAGCAGGUCAUAGUGAUCCGGUGGUUCUGAAUGGAAGGGCCAUCGCUCAACGGAUAAAAGGUACUCCGGGGAUAACAGGCUGAUACCGCCCAAGAGUUCAUAUCGACGGCGGUGUUUGGCACCUCGAUGUCGGCUCAUCACAUCCUGGGGCUGAAGUAGGUCCCAAGGGUAUGGCUGUUCGCCAUUUAAAGUGGUACGCGAGCUGGGUUUAGAACGUCGUGAGACAGUUCGGUCCCUAUCUGCCGUGGGCGCUGGAGAACUGAGGGGGGCUGCUCCUAGUACGAGAGGACCGGAGUGGACGCAUCACUGGUGUUCGGGUUGUCAUGCCAAUGGCACUGCCCGGUAGCUAAAUGCGGAAGAGAUAAGUGCUGAAAGCAUCUAAGCACGAAACUUGCCCCGAGAUGAGUUCUCCCUGAGACUUAGAGUCUCCUGAAGGAACGUUGAAGACGACGACGUUGAUAGGCCGGGUGUGUAAGCGCAGCGAUGCGUUGAGCUAACCGGUACUAAUGAACCGUGAGGCUUAACCUUAC
RNAcentral lists this ribosomal RNA (1730 nucleotides) under Salmonella enterica subsp. enterica serovar Heidelberg str. 79-0480. Its description in RNAcentral is "bacterial LSU rRNA". It matches the Rfam family "Bacterial large subunit ribosomal RNA", at positions 1220 to 2925 of the family's 2925-position model. The record is from RNAcentral. Lineage: Bacteria; Pseudomonadati; Pseudomonadota; Gammaproteobacteria; Enterobacterales; Enterobacteriaceae.